UACAGAGGUCUCAAGCGUUGUUCGGAUUCAUUGGGCGUAAAGGGUGCGUAGGCGGCGCGGUAAGUCGGGUGUGAAAUCUCGGAGCUUAACUCCGAAACUGCAUUCGAUACUGCUGUGCUUGAGGACUGUAGAGGAGAUCGGAAUUCACGGUGUAGCAGUGAAAUGCGUAGAUAUCGUGAGGAAGACCAGUUGCGAAGGCGGAUCUCUGGGCAGUUCCUGACACUGAGGCACGAAGGCCAGGGGAGCAAACGGG
Molecule: ribosomal RNA, 253 nt
Filed under: uncultured bacterium
Lineage: Bacteria
Description: partial 16S ribosomal RNA
Rfam family: Bacterial small subunit ribosomal RNA
Source: RNAcentral